Long non-coding RNA from Cucurbita moschata (crookneck pumpkin), 77 nucleotides. RefSeq lists it as uncharacterized. The record is from RefSeq and is a predicted model, not a curated record. The transcript has 3 exons. NCBI's taxonomy places the organism in Eukaryota, Viridiplantae, Streptophyta, Magnoliopsida, Cucurbitales, Cucurbitaceae.
UUCUAUUCGAAUCGACGACUUAAAAGGACUUAGUUGGUUAUAGAAUGCAAAGAAUAGCAGUCAGUCAGUAGUUUAGA